This is a small nucleolar RNA of Camelus dromedarius (Arabian camel), 131 nucleotides long. The record is from Ensembl. Lineage: Eukaryota; Metazoa; Chordata; Mammalia; Artiodactyla; Camelidae.
GCUGCCCCUAGAGGCACUGCUCAUGUGGUUGCUUUUCCAUAUUGGUGUCAUUAGGUGGCAGAGAGAAGAAGGGAUUGUCUACACCCAGUGUUCUGGCCUAUGAACUCCUGGAUGAUUGAUGGUCUGAUACU